AACAACGGCUGGCGGCGUGCCUAACACAUGCAAGUCGUACGAGAAAGUCGGCUUCGGCCGAUGAGUACAGUGGCGCACGGGUGAGUAGCGCGUGGGUAAUCUGCCCCCCGGUCAGGAAUAACCCGCCGAAAGGCGGGCUAAUACCCGAUAACACUGACGCUCCGCGGAGCGUCUUUCAAAGAAGGCCUCUGUUUACAAGCUUUCGCCGGAGGAUGAGCCCGCGUACCAUUAGCUAGUUGGCAGGGUAAUGGCCUACCAAGGCUACGAUGGUUAGCUGGUCUGAGAGGAUGGCCAGCCACACUGGAACUGAGACACGGUCCAGACUCCUACGGGAGGCAGCAGUGAGGAAUCUUGCGCAAUGGGGGAAACCCUGACGCAGCAACGCCGCGUGAGUGAGGAAGGCCUUCGGGUCGUAAAGCUCUGUCAGAUGGGAAGAAAUGGAUGGGGGCUAAUAUCGCCCAUCCUUGACGGUACCAUCAGAGGAAGCACCGGCUAACUCCGUG
RNAcentral lists this ribosomal RNA (503 nucleotides) under uncultured bacterium. RNAcentral describes it as "bacterial SSU rRNA". It matches the Rfam family "Bacterial small subunit ribosomal RNA", at positions 35 to 507 of the family's 1533-position model. The record is from RNAcentral.